UGAGUAACCUGCCCUGGACUUUGGGAUAACCCUCGGAGACGGGGGCUAAUACCGGAUAUGACAUGCUCUCGCAUGGGGGUGUGUGGAAAGUUUUUCGGUCUGGGAUGGGCUCGCGGCCUAUCAGCUUGUUGGUGGGGUGAUGGCCUACCAAGGCGACGACGGGUAGCCGGCCUGAGAGGGCGACCGGCCACACUGGGACUGAGACACGGCCCGGACUCCGUACGGGAGGCA
This 231-nucleotide ribosomal RNA is filed under the name uncultured bacterium. Its description in RNAcentral is "partial 16S ribosomal RNA". It matches the Rfam family "Bacterial small subunit ribosomal RNA", at positions 118 to 350 of the family's 1533-position model. The record is from RNAcentral.